GAAUGCUGACAUAAGUAACGAUAAAGCGGGUGAAAAGCCCGCUCGCCGGAAGACCAAGGGUUCCUGUCCAACGUUAAUCGGGGCAGGGUGAGUCGACCCCUAAGGCGAGGCCGAAAGGCGUAGUCGAUGGGAAACAGGUUAAUAUUCCUGUACUUGGUGUUACUGCGAAGGGGGGACGGAGAAGGCUAUGUUAGCCGGGCGACGGUUGUCCCGGUUUAAGCAUGUAGGCGGAGGUUCCAGGUAAAUCCGGUACCUUUUAACGCUGAGGUGUGAUGACGAGGCACUACGGUGCUGAAGUAACAAAUGCCCUGCUUCCAGGAAAAGCCUCUAAGCAUCAGGUAACAUCAAAUCGUACCCCAAACCGACACAGGUGGUCAGGUAGAGAAUACCAAGGCGCUUGAGAGAACUCGGGUGAAGGAACUAGGCAAAAUGGUGCCGUAACUUCGGGAGAAGGCACGCUGGUG
This 464-nucleotide ribosomal RNA is filed under the name Klebsiella variicola. Its description in RNAcentral is "partial 23S ribosomal RNA". It matches the Rfam family "Bacterial large subunit ribosomal RNA", at positions 1292 to 1756 of the family's 2925-position model. The record is from RNAcentral. RNAcentral also lists the same sequence under 1 other name. Lineage: Bacteria; Pseudomonadati; Pseudomonadota; Gammaproteobacteria; Enterobacterales; Enterobacteriaceae.